This is a small nucleolar RNA of Cucurbita moschata (crookneck pumpkin), 81 nucleotides long. Lineage: Eukaryota; Viridiplantae; Streptophyta; Magnoliopsida; Cucurbitales; Cucurbitaceae. The record is from RefSeq and is a predicted model, not a curated record.
UGCAAUCCAUGAUGCAAACUACCCAAUUUCUGAUUUUCUGUGAUUAUUUACACAUAUCACCAUCUUUCGGCUGAGGUUGCA